UACAGAGGGUGCAAGCGUUAAUCGGAAUUACUGGGCGUAAAGGGCGCGUAGGCGGUUAUGUAAGUGAGAUGUGAAAUCCCUGGGCUUAACCUAGGAACUGCAUCUCAUACUGUGUGACUAGAGUAUUGUAGAGGGUAGUGGAAUUUCCGGUGUAGCGGUGAAAUGCGUAGAGAUCGGAAGGAACACCAGUGGCGAAGGCGGCUACCUGGACAAAUACUGACGCUGAUGCGCGAGAGCGUGGGGAGCAAACAGG
This 253-nucleotide ribosomal RNA is filed under the name uncultured bacterium. RNAcentral's name for it is "partial 16S ribosomal RNA". It matches the Rfam family "Bacterial small subunit ribosomal RNA", at positions 524 to 776 of the family's 1533-position model. The record is from RNAcentral.